RNAcentral lists this ribosomal RNA (211 nucleotides) under Fusarium solani. RNAcentral's name for it is "partial large subunit ribosomal RNA". Lineage: Eukaryota; Fungi; Ascomycota; Sordariomycetes; Hypocreales; Nectriaceae. The record is from RNAcentral.
AAGCGCUUGUGACCAGACUUGGGCUUGGUUGAUCAUCCGGGGUUCUCCCCGGUGCACUCUUCCGGCUCAGGCCAGCAUCAGUUCGCCCUGGGGGAUAAAGGCUUCGGGAAUGUGGCUCUCUCCGGGGAGUGUUAUAGCCCGCUGCGUAAUACCCUGUGGCGGACUGAGGUUCGCGCAUUCGCAAGGAUGCUGGCGUAAUGGUCAUCAGUGA